CCUACGGGGGGCAGCAGUGGGGAAUAUUGGGCAAUGGGCGCAAGCCUGACCCAGCAACGCCGCGUGAAGGAAGAAGGCUUUCGGGUUGUAAACUUCUUUUGACAGGGAAGAGUAGAAGACGGUACCUGUCGAAUAAGCCACGGCUAACUACGUGCCAGCAGCCGCGGUAAUACGUAGGUGGCAAGCGUUGUCCGGAUUUACUGGGUGUAAAGGGCGUGUAGCCGGGUUGACAAGUCAGAUGUGAAAUCCUGCGGCUUAACCGCAGAACUGCAUUUGAAACUGUUGAUCUUGAGUACUGGAGAGGCAGACGGAAUGCCUGGUGUAGCGGUGAAAUGUGUAGAUAUUAGGAGGAACACCAGUGGCGAAGGCAGUCUGCUGGACAGCAACUGACGGUGAGGCGCGAAAGCGUGGGGAGCAAACAGGAUUAGAUACCCCUGUAGUC
Molecule: ribosomal RNA, 442 nt
Filed under: uncultured bacterium
Lineage: Bacteria
Description: partial 16S ribosomal RNA
Rfam family: Bacterial small subunit ribosomal RNA
Source: RNAcentral